ACUAAGCUCCUCCUCCCCUUAAAUCUGUCUGAAUAACCCUCUUAAACCCUUAGAGAUCAACUCACUUCCAUCUCCUAACCCUAGUCCUUCUCUCUCUAGCGAACCCUAGCCGCCCUAAAAUCCACACUGGUGGUCACCACCCCAAGCACCCCCAAAUCUUUAUCCUACACUCCCCAUUCCUCCUAAUAUGUAAUCCCCUAUCAAUUUCUCUAGAAACCUCCCCAAAAUCCAUAAUUUCCAGAUCCAAGAACCCCAAAAAACCUAGUUCCACCUUUUUCAAUUCUUGAAGUUUUGAGAACACAAUUCGAGUUGAAACUCACAUUAAUUGUUUGUUCUCAACCAGAACAAUCGAUUGACGUUACUUUCGGCUCAUUUCAAAAGUAUUCGGACUUAGUGGUUGACUAAACGUUUGGCACAAGGCCUUCUUGUUAUGUUUUAGGUAAUCUUGUGUCCUUUUUUUGUUUCCUUUUCUUCGGUUUUCACGAGUUUUAAUCUUUUUUUUUUUUACUUGUCAGCAUGUUAGGAUUUGAUGUCAUUUGAUUAUGUGUUUGCAUAAUUUAAUUAAUAGUUUAAUUGCAUGACUUUGAUUAGUUAAUUACUUUAGGUUAAUCAUCAAAAUUUUUUUAGGUUGUAAGUAUUUUCUGUUUUGAAUAGCAUAAUUCUUUCCCCAUUCUUGUUUCUUUUGUUCCUCUAAUUAAUUGUAUCUUAGCUGUUUUUUGUUUAAUUAGACUAGUCUUGUUAAUUGCCCUACGUUGGUAUUUAGGUCUAAAAAGAGGGGGUUGAGAGAGAUAGAAAGUAAGGAAUCUUUUGUUGAGCUGUUAAGAAUUGUUAGCAGGUAUUAGAAGGGAUUAAAGUACAAUUAGAUAAAACUUGGGGUGAAAAAGAGGUAAAAACAAAAGUAAAAAGAGCUGGAAAAUAAGAAGAAGCUUCUGGAUGAUGGACGACAGUUGUCCAAAUUUAUUAAGGGAAAGAUGCUGAAAAUUAGAUAAACAUCUGAAAAUAGAACAGCUGUCCAUUUUGGUUGAAAAAAAAGAUGCCUCAUCCCCUAAUUUUCAGCUGACAUUCCAUAUAUUCCCUCCCAUUUUCCCUCAUAUAGGACACCCUCCUACACUCUAUAAAAGAUACCUCACACUCCUUCACACAGAGGUGUAUUCACCCUGCUUUCCUCUAAAAGAAUACACUCGCAGAAAGCUUCUGAGAAAUCAAAAAACUUCUAAAUCUGAGAUCUUAAGCAGAAAAUUCCAAAAAAAAAGAGAAAACAAAAGGAAAACAGAAUAGAGAAACGAUUUAUGUGUUUGCUCAAGUCUGUGGCUGGUUGUUUCAUUUUCUGGGUUCAUAGAUGCUAUUUUGGUGUUAAAGUGUUGUUGAAUCUGACGCUUCUACUCUUGCUGAGCUCCAGUUUUCCUUUCUCUAGCCUUAUUUGCCUAUUCUAAGUUGCACUACUACUGUUAAGGUAUGUGCUUGUGGUCUCAAAUAAUUUAAUCACUAUUUGAAUAUCAUAUUGCUAUGAAAUCUCAGUUGUCUGUUCAUUUACAUGUAUACUGAAUGCUCUUUCAUAUUUGACUGCAAGUGUGAGUUCGGUUUGAAGUACCUGAUGUGAUGAAUGCCUAAAACCAUACAAGAAAUUUGAAUAAUAAUAAGAAACAAUCAGGAAAUCUAUUUUGUUUUAUUUUUAUCUUUGUUUGUCAAAAUUUUGAGUUGCUAUUGAUGGAUUCCUUACGCAUGAAGUUCUGCAAUUUCCCUGUAGGUUUGUGGUUUGUGGUUUAAGAAGUAACACGCCAAAAGUGUUGGUGACGAAUUUAGAAAUCUGACCAGUGCUUGGCCUGAUUUUUUAAAGUUCCACCACUUGAAAGUGGUCAUUUGUGUAAUAGUUUAAUUCUAGUUUAGUAUAGUUCCUAGUACAGAAAUGUAAUAAUCUGGUUCAUCAUUAGUGAAUGUAGUUGUGUCGAGUCAGUAGAUUGAUAGUUAUUUCAAACCAUGGAACGCUGUUGUAUAGCAAUUCAGUAUGAGUUUAGUGUUUAUAUCUGUUGAAAUGCUUAACUGUGGUAGUGAAGUAUAGAUAUAAUUCUUCCUGGCAUUUGUUAAGCUGAUUGCAUGCUGAAUUUCAUUUUUGUAGAAGAACCUGUUUGUUUCAGUAGUUAUUGUUUUCUUGCAAAGUUUUGGGUCUGGCCACUAUUCAGGCCCACUUUGGAACACCUUAUGGAUUGAAGUUUAAUUUAUGGCAAUAAAGGGGGCUGCCAAGCCCGAUUUUGUCAGGCUCACACUUUAUAUUAAUAAAAUGGCUCUUUGUUUUUGUAAUAGGCCGACACAUGAGUUUAGGUUUUUUUCAAAUUGUUAUUAUCUUUUAAAGUUUUUUUUACACACUUGAUCCUUUUUAACUAUUAUUUAAAAAAAAUAGAAUCAUUUAUUAUUUAUUCCAUAAAAAGCACUUUUUUCUCAUUAUUAGCAUAUUAUAAAAAUUAAGCCCAACAUUCAUCUUCUUCACUCCAUUUUUUAAAAUUUGAUGCAUAUGUGAAUGCCAUCUAAAUUCAAGAUGUAUUGAUUUAUACAUCUUUUUACGUUGUAUAUUAAGUAUCACUUUAAUUCAGAAUAUAUUUUUAUAUAUAUAAUUUUUGUAUAUUUAUUUGUGAAGUGCCAUCUUAUUUUAAGAUGUAUUUUUAAUUUAUAUAUCAAAUAUAUUUUAUAUGUCAAGUGCCAUUUUAAUUCUUGUGAUGUAGGUCAUCUUAGGUUUCAGAACCUAAUUCUGUGUUUCGAGGUCUCAAAAACCUUAUUUUAGCCUUCCUCAAUUUGCGUGUACAAUCCAGGUGUUCUUCGGAAGGCUUAUAUGUUAAAAACUAAAAAAAAUAUGAAAUUUUAGACUUAAAAAUUAAUUUGAGUUGACUUCGGUCAACGUUUUGAGUAAACGGAUCCGGAUCCGUAUUUUGACGGUCGCAGUGGGUCCGUGUCGAAAUAUGGGACCUGAACAUAUGCCCGAAAUCGAAUUCGGAAGUCUCCAUCUCGAAUUAUGAAUUUUUGUUGAAAAUUAAAAAUCUGAAAGUUUAAUGGAUUUUAAAAAUUAACUGAGGUUUGGUUUUGUUGAUACUGGGUCCGUAUUUUGGUUUCGGAGCCCGGUACAGGUCCACUAUAAUAUUUAUGAUUUGCUGUCGAAUUUGAUGAGAAACGGAGUUGGUUUGACGUGAUUCGUACGUCCAGUUGUUAAUAUAGAAAUUCUAAAGUUUCUUGAAAAUUUUAUUUGAUUUUGGUGUUCGAUUCAUACUUCUAGGUGUUAUUGCAGGCCUACAGUUUCGAAUAGACUACAGAGUGAAAAUUGGACUUAGAGCAUUGCUGGUGUGCUUCAGUUUUAUUGCAGGCCUCAGACCUCGCAAUUGCGAGGUCAAUCAUCGCAAUUGCGACCACUGAAGGGUUCGCAUUUGCGAGCUACUCAUCGCAUUUGCGAAGAGUAGCUUGGAAGGCCUGAGUUCGUAUUUGCGAACAAAGCUUGGCAUUUGCGAAGAGGGACAUGGGGAGACAGUGAUCGCAAAUGCGAUCAAAUGGUCACAUUUGCGGAGAUCAUUGUUCGUAAUUGCGAACCAUUCUUCGCAUUUGCGAAGAAAGCAGAAGUGUGGAGAGCUUCGCAUUUACGGGGUUCACAUUUGCGAACCCCGGGUAGCAAAUGCGACAUUUGCACCUGAUCAAAUAUGACUUAGACGGGAUUUUUGGUUCAUUCUUUAAAUUUGCAAACUCAAGAACCCUAGAGAAAAUUUUCCAGAGAACUUUUCUUCCCCAAAUCAUUGGUAAGUGAUUCUAAACUAGUUUCUUUCAAUCUUUCACUACUUUUCCUAAAAUUUCAACCUAAAAUCUAAAGUUUUCAUGGUAGAAAUUGGGGGGUUUGGGUAGAAUUAGGAAUUUUUGAAAAACAUGGGGAUUUAGACCUCAAAUUGAGGUCGGAUUCCAAAACAAAUUACAUAACCGGGCUUGGGAUGAAUGGGUAAUCGAAUUUUGGUCCAAAUUUCGGGUUUGGACCAAGCGGGCCCGGGUGUUGACUUUUGUAGUUUUGUUGACUUUUUCAAUAAUGGCCUAAAUUGAAUUCUUUACAAUCGUGGGUAGUUCCUAAGGCUUAAAUUGAAUCGUUUGGUUCGUAAAUUGCUAGAUUCUAUUUAUUCGGAGGCUUGUUUGAAAGGAAAAGUCAUGGCUGAUCUUUGAGUUUGGUCUUCGGAGCGAGAUAAGUGUCAUGGUUAACCUUGACUUGAGGGAAUACGACUUGUUUGUCUAUUUGCUACAUGUUUAAAUAUUGGGGAACCUCGUAUAUGUGAGGUGACAAGUACUUAUGCAUUGUAGUCGGGUUAAAGCAUGCAGACGGGGCUUGGUUUCUUGCAAUUAUAGCUUCAUUUGUUCAUAUUAUCCAUGUUUAGACUAGUAUUGUUAAAUUGAUCGUUCUUAUCAUAUUUACGGAUCUUCUGGUGAUAAUUGAGUAUUGAUUCCGAAGUUGAGGUUGAUAUUGUGGAACCAAAUGUUGAAGUAAGGCUUGUACUUGUUAUUCUAUCUCUCUGUUGUUAUUUGUUCAUUGUAUUAUAGUAAAGGGGAGUGUUAAUGCACGACGGGUGAUGUCGUGCCAUAUUGUGAGUGUUAAUACACGAAGGGUGAUGCCGUUUCAUAUUGUGAGUGUUAAUGCACGAAGGGUGAUGCCGUGCCAUAUUGUGAGUGUUAAUGAAGGGUGUUGCCGUAUCGUUUCUAUUGAUUUUAUGGUGAGGUUGAGAGUAAAAGCACGAAGGGUGAUACCGUACAUUUUUUCUUUACUGUGUUUACUUGUUCUUAUUGGUCCAUAGUAUAUUGGCGGUUCAAGUUACCAUUCUACUGUAGCUCUCUAUCUCGUAUUCCCCUCAGCAUGUUUCUCCCUCCCAAUAGUACAUGUUUAGCUGUUAUUUGUACAUAUAGUGUUAAAUUGCACAUGUUUGUUAUGUAGGUGUCUUUUCAUAGCCUCGUCACUAUUUCGUCGAGGUUAGGCUCGACACUUAUCAGUACAUGGGGUCGGUUGUACUGAUACUGCACUCUGUACUUCCUGUGCAGAUUUUGGUAUUUGUCCCAGCUGAUCGAGAGGCGUAGCAGCUCGGUCUNN
Molecule: long non-coding RNA, 5095 nt
Filed under: Nicotiana tabacum (common tobacco)
Lineage: Eukaryota; Viridiplantae; Streptophyta; Magnoliopsida; Solanales; Solanaceae
Description: long non-coding RNA (NTAB_LNC008897)
Source: RNAcentral